RNAcentral lists this ribosomal RNA (301 nucleotides) under uncultured bacterium. RNAcentral describes it as "partial 16S ribosomal RNA". It matches the Rfam family "Bacterial small subunit ribosomal RNA", at positions 509 to 807 of the family's 1533-position model. The record is from RNAcentral.
CAGCCGCCGCGGUAAUACGUAGGGUGCAAGCGUUAAUCGGAAUUACUGGGCGUAAAGCGUGCGCAGGCGGUUUGUUAAGACAGAUGUGAAAUCCCCGGGCUCAACCUGGGAACUGCAUUUGUGACUGGCAAGCUAGAGUGUGGCAGAGGGGGGUGGAAUUCCGCGUGUAGCAGUGAAAUGCGUAGAUAUGCGGAGGAACACCGAUGGCGAAGGCAGCCCCCUGGGCCAACACUGACGCUCAUGCACGAAAGCGUGGGGAGCAAACAGGAUUAGAGACCCGCGUAGUCCCUGUCUCUUAUAC